AGACCAUCCUGGCUAACAUGGUGAAACCCCAUCUCUACUGAAAAAUACAAAAAAUUAGCCGGGCGUGGUGAAGCUGAGUGGCUUGGGACAACAGAAAUUGAUUUUCAAAUAGCUCUAGAGGCCAGAAAUCCUCAAUCCAGGUGUGGGCAGGGCCGCCCUCCCUCGGGGGACCUAGGGGAGGGUCCCUCCUAGCCUCUUGCAACUCUGGUGGCUCCACCAUUCCUCAGUUUGUGGCCACAUCCUCCAGUCUCUGCCUCUGUCUUUUCCUAGCUCUCUCCUCUCUUCUGUGUGUGGGCCUUCUCUUCUGCCUCUUACAAAGACAUUUAUCAUUUAGGAUUUAGAACUUCUUUUGAAAAAAGGAGGUCAGCUAUGGGGCUUAGGAUAUGGACAUAUCCCUUUAGGGGUCACCAUUCAGCCCCCACAGCCAUCACAGUCUUCGUCCUCUGGCCUCUGGGAGCUGAAGUGAGUUCCCAGGUUGGCUGAAGCUGGGCCCUGUCCUGUGUGUCCUGUGAAUGGCUCUGCUGUAAGAGGGGCCAACCUGACACCUGCACAGGUGAACACCUGCACUGUUCACCUUCUCCAUUCCUUUCCUCUGAGAACCUUAGAACCGUAGAUGACUGGAAACUGUCCAGACUUUUACGGCACAAGCAAAUACCCCACGUUCUCAUUCCAGACUCAGUCCCUGCAUUGCGAAUGUUCCCACAGAUGACGGUCGCCCUCCACCUGCCUUUCCUCAAGAGUUAC
This 744-nucleotide long non-coding RNA is filed under the name Homo sapiens (human). RNAcentral's name for it is "non-protein coding lnc-ZBP1-3:1". The record is from RNAcentral. Lineage: Eukaryota; Metazoa; Chordata; Mammalia; Primates; Hominidae.